RNAcentral lists this small nucleolar RNA (131 nucleotides) under Rhinopithecus bieti (black snub-nosed monkey). RNAcentral describes it as "Small nucleolar RNA SNORA31 (ENSRBIG00000008419.1)". Lineage: Eukaryota; Metazoa; Chordata; Mammalia; Primates; Cercopithecidae. The record is from RNAcentral.
AUGCAUCUAUUUGACAGACCUGGAGUAGUUAUUGUUUGCCACUAAGAUUUCCACUACAGAUGCAAGAAAGAAGUGUCCUUGCGUUUCCUGUCUGAUUGUGGCAGCCAACAUUGAAUGGAGGCAAUACAGGG